UGUUCUCAACAUAAAACAACUGUUAGCUACCGAGCUACUUCUAGAGUUUUACUUUACCACGCAAGCCUGUUGCUGUAAAGUUAUUUGAGAUAACUGCAGAUACAUUUGCGAGAUGUACAUUAUUAAUUCAAUAAUAUUUAUGCUUGCUACACGUACCAUAUUCUUAUUCAGACUUUAUUGAUAAGGUGGUGUUGAUAAAUUCAAAAACUACAUGCAAAGUCAAACUUCUGCUGUUAUUUUGGUGAAAGUAAUGCAAAAGUAUUGUUCUGCAUUUACUCACAGGUUUCCGGAAGAAGAUGCAGAAGAAGGGGAAAAAAGAACAAUGAAAUCCUCCUUGCAUGGACCAGGUCUGUCAUAAAUCAUAUGUGGUUUUCCUGUGCAACCAGUAAGGGGGACGUCGAGGAGAAGCACGGUUCAACAAAAUGUUCUGCAAGAAAUCCAAGCAGUGGGUCUCGAAGAAAAGCUCAUACCACACACCACACAGUUUGUAGACGAACUCAUCCAGAAGGCCAUUGACAAGACUCAAUCCAAACA
This is a non-coding RNA of Misgurnus anguillicaudatus (oriental weatherfish), 534 nucleotides long. The record is from RefSeq and is a predicted model, not a curated record. Lineage: Eukaryota; Metazoa; Chordata; Actinopteri; Cypriniformes; Cobitidae.